AAGGGUACCGGCAGUUUCGGCAAGCGCCGGAACAAGACCCACACGCUCUGCAUCCGCUGCGGCCGCCGCAGCUUCCACCUCCAGAAGAGCACCUGCUCCUCGUGCGGCUACCCCGCCGCCCGCAUCCGCAAGUACAACUGGAGUGUGAAAGCCAUCAGGCGCAAGACCACCGGCACUGGAAGGAUGAGGUACAUGCGCCACGUGCCUCGCAGGUUCAAGAGCAACUUCAGAGAAGGUACCGAGGCUGCCCCCAGGAACAGGGCCGCGGCCAACUAG
RNAcentral lists this ribosomal RNA (276 nucleotides) under Triticum aestivum (bread wheat). RNAcentral describes it as "partial small subunit ribosomal RNA". The record is from RNAcentral. Lineage: Eukaryota; Viridiplantae; Streptophyta; Magnoliopsida; Poales; Poaceae.